This is a long non-coding RNA of Chenopodium quinoa (quinoa), 709 nucleotides long. RefSeq lists it as uncharacterized. NCBI's taxonomy places the organism in Eukaryota, Viridiplantae, Streptophyta, Magnoliopsida, Caryophyllales, Amaranthaceae. The record is from RefSeq and is a predicted model, not a curated record. The transcript has 2 exons.
UGUUACAACUUACAAUUGCAAUCUAUUCCCUCUAAAAAAACCUAUCAAAACAACUUAUCUUCUACUAGCCAAUUUAAGUGUACUACUAGCAAUGAACUCAUAUCCCUAUUACCCUGGUCAAACUGACCACUACAACCACCACCAAGGCGUAGGCGGCGUAUACCAUACCGACAACCACCACAACCAACACACUGUCCCGUAUCACGGCCAUGGUGGAGGCCAUCAUGGCUAUGACAACUACCACGCUGCCGCCGUCCCAUAUUAUGGUGGCCAUGAUGCUAACCAUCAUGGUCAUCAUAACAACCACCACGCCACCCCGUUUUAUGGUCACGGUGCCGGGUUAGGCGGCAUGGCUCAAGGUUUCAUGCACCAUGGAAGUGGACACCAUGGGAUGGGUUACAAGAAGAAGAGCAAGAAACACCAUUUUGGACAUCAUGGUGGUGACAGCAGUGGCAGUGACAGUGAUUAAUAUGGAUGAUCGAGCAAGUAAGCGAAGAGGAAUUGGAAAUCUGAGUACUCCGAUAUAGUCCGAUCCCUAGCUAUCUGAUGCAUGCAUGCAGGAGUUUGUAGUAAAAUAAUAAAUGGCAUAUCACCUGUUUAUGAUCGAUAUGUCUAAUUAAUGAGUUAUGAUGUACUAGUACUACUCUUGUUCUUUGUACUAAAAAUUCUAUAUGAAUGAUGAACUUUUUAUCUAUUAUUAAAUGUUUAA